Molecule: transfer RNA, 65 nt
Filed under: Perelia gestroi
Lineage: Eukaryota; Metazoa; Annelida; Clitellata; Crassiclitellata; Lumbricidae
Description: tRNA-Val
Source: RNAcentral
CGAAGUAUAGCAUAUCCAAUGCCUUUUACCUACACUAAAAAUAAAACUAACAGUUUACUUCGCUG